This 66-nucleotide transfer RNA is filed under the name Placopecten magellanicus (sea scallop). Its description in RNAcentral is "tRNA-Ala". It matches the Rfam family "tRNA". From Rfam's summary of the family: Transfer RNA (tRNA) molecules are approximately 80 nucleotides in length. The record is from RNAcentral. Lineage: Eukaryota; Metazoa; Mollusca; Bivalvia; Pectinida; Pectinidae.
UGCUCCUUAGUGUAAGAAACACAUCUGUUUUGCACUCAGAAGAUGGAGGGUUUCCUUCAGGAGCAU